Long non-coding RNA from Neofelis nebulosa (Clouded leopard), 6632 nucleotides. RefSeq lists it as uncharacterized. The transcript is spliced from 2 exons. The record is from RefSeq and is a predicted model, not a curated record. Lineage: Eukaryota; Metazoa; Chordata; Mammalia; Carnivora; Felidae.
GUCCUUGCUGCCUGAGAUGAAAAAAGGUGGUGGUGGCAAUGACCAUCUUCACAUCAUGAGGACGGAAGUCACCCAAGAUGGUGCUAAAGGUGGAGAAGGAGCAAGAAAAAAGGAUGGUCGCUGCAGACAUCUCUAAGAUACUGUAUUAGCUUUGGACUGCCUACAUUCAAACUUCUUAUGGUCAAAAAAUAAACAUUUUUAAGCCACUAAUCUUCAUUUUUUUGUUACAAGCUCCUGAACCUAUUCCUAUUAAUACACUAGUACAUGGAUUUUGUUAUUUUCUUUAUGUGGAAAUAUCUCAUAAAUUAUUUAAGAAUUUUAAAAUGAUAGCAGAAAAUACAGGAAAAUAGAAACAGUUUUACCACAUGAGUGUAGCUUCUCUGGUCCAUUUAGGUUGGCUGAAGGGAACAAAUGGCUGUACAAUGUCAUUCCUUCUAUUUAGAAAACGUCUCUUAUGCAGAAUCUCUUUCCAUUUCCAAGUUUAUAAAAGAAAUCACAGCAAAGUAGUGUUCAGUUCUACUAUAUCAAAUAACUUCUUCUAUGGUUCUAAACACAGUGGAGAGAAAGACUGUCCUCUUGUCUGCUUAAUACUACAAUUCCAGCUUGUUGAAUAAGUGGGUUUGACCAAUGUCACCGACAUCACUUAACUGUAACAUGUUCAGUGGCCUGUGACCCUCAGUCAUAUUGUAUCAUAAGGGGAAUUACAUUUGGGUAGUUUGUUAGCAAACAACAGAAAAUAACUCUGUAGUCUUGGCAGAAAGAGACUUUCUGAGAAGGAAGUUUCCAUGGCUCGAGCUGACCAAGGAAAUCAAGUGAGGAAGAGGCAGAAAUAGAUAUAUUCAAAGAUGUCAGUGGCAGGACAGCUCAGAGACCUUGGCAGAUCAUCAACUGACUAAAUGACUCCAAUUAUUUAUCUCUUCUUUGUGACAAAUUCAAAGGGGUGUGUGUGAGUGAGUGCAUGUGUGUGUGUGUGUGUGCAUGUGUAUGAGAGAAAGAGACAGAAAGAGAGAGAGAAGGUGAGACAGAGACAUAAAGGGAAAGAGGCUUAAUAACUAAGCAUAAGCCUAAGGCCUUCUUACUGCUACCAAGAUUUGGACUUGAAGACUCUGACAGACAGAGCCCUUAGAUUCCGAAAGGAUGUGCAUCCACUGAUGUGCCAUUGCCCUGCACAUAGUAAAGAACGCUGCUGCUCUGAAAGAAAUUUGAGCCACUAUAAGGAGGGGUGUGGGUGCCAGGAGGCUAAAGCAAUGAUGAAUACCUGCUGCUGACGUACAAGCGCAGAAGGAAGGGACGUGGUCCUAGAGACUCUCUUAACCACUAUUUCCCUACAGCAUUGAACUACACAAACUGCUAGUGGAGAAUCCCAUUUUUGCAGAUACUGUUGAAAGUAUAUUUCUAAGUGUUUUUGUCAAGUGAAUAUAUGAGUAUUAUUAUCAGCUGAAAAGGAUACUGCCCAAAGCAUGGGCUUGCUAGACAUUAAAAACAAAAAAAGAGCAACUUUGAAACUUAUUUUCAAGAAGGCUUUUAAACUAUUGCCAUGUAAGUAGCCCAUCGCCUCUGUGAAUAGAGUGGUUAAUAUUCCAAAAACUCAAAUACUAUUUCAAAAUAGAAUGUCGUUACCUCAUGGCAUCAUUUAUUCAAAUGAUCAAAUAAGUACGUAGACAAUGACCCCUUUCAUACAAUAAGCUAGACUUACUUUUGAAAAAAGCUUUGAAAAUCUUUGGAAGUUACUUUCUGAAAGUGUUAAAUAUUCUUUUUUCAUCAUUUUGAACUUCAUUAACUAAAUGACAAUUUUGUUUUCCUUAGAACUUAUCUUGACAUUUCUAUUUUCUUUUCAUCUCUUUUUUUACUGUGCAGUUAAAACCACCAAUGAACAAAGCAGAGCAUAUUUAAAUCUUAAGUUUAAAAAACCUGUUCUGCUUUGCAGUUCAGAAUAAUGCAUGAACACACACACACUUAUCUCCUCUUUUUCCAGAGCCUACGUGAACAUGAAACUAAAGGAAUAAAAAGGGACAAAAUCAACAACACUGUAGAAUAUUAGAAGGGCCAAUGGGUGGAGGUGAAAUGUUAGCACACAUAUACAGGAUGACAGUGGAUAGACUUCCACUCUGGGAGCAUAGUGGGCUGAAUAUUCUGAAGGGUCCAGCUGCUAAAAACUAAGUCUCAUAUAAGUUGCAACAAACAUGAUUUCAAAUGCAAUGCUCAGAUCACAAGAAAGUGAAGGAAGUCUCUAAAAACCAAAAGUCCAAGAGGAAAAAAAAAAAAGGAAUAGAGGGAAAAGAGAGAAAAGGAGACAGAGAGGAGCAAAGGAAAAUGAUAAGUGAGCCAGACCCAUGGGAGGGAGCAGCGACCAGUAUAACAUAACUUCAUGUUUCAUGCCCUAUAUAUGCCUGCAUUAUUUUCACCAAGCUAUGGAACUUUGCAUAAUAAAAUGAACAGGACACACAGGAAAUCUAGGAUUGGGGAAACACUCCAAAGCUGUACAUAAAAAAUUCACUGAAAUUUAAUAAUAAAAGUAAAUAAAUGCAUACAUAAUGCUAUUGCCACUUUGUUUUCUAAUAAAUAAAUAUUAUCAUAGUCAUAGACAAAACAUAUCUGUUUGUUUGCUGUGGUGAACUGUAGCUUCCAAGACAUGGAGAAGAGGUGGAAGGAAGAAUAAGGUUCUUAGGCUGAAAUGUUGCCACAGCAGAGAUGGAGGGUUCCGGUUCAUUGUCUGUUUUCCUUUCUUUUGCUCUGGCUUAAAAUAGAAACCCUACCUUUGUUGUUUCCCAGUUUUCUUCUUUCACAAAGAAGCUGCACACACAGCUCAAUGCGGCCAGACACAGAGUGCCAUCCUGCUGCUCUGAGCACUGUACUGUCUGCUCCAAUCCUCACAAACGCUUCCCAGUCCCAAUUAGCACAGAUGAUAACUGGGAUGUGUCUAUCUCUCCUCUCCUUUAUUUUUGUCACAGUGCUGUCUCUGAUAGAAUGCAAUGUGGACUCCUUAUUUCUUGGAUAUCACAUGUUCAUAUGUUUCUUUUAAAAUCAUAAUUCCAAACUUCCUCUCAAUACUUUAAGUCUGUUUUGUUGUUGUUGUUCACGACUUGGAUUCAUAUAACCAGAAUGUUUACUUGUGCUUGAAAUGCCAUCUUAAAUAUUUAUAUUAAAAAGAAUACACAAGCUUUGGAGAACAGUGCAAUACAUACUUGCAGGUUAUAUUAGUAAAUCGAGGAAAGAGAGAGAAAUUGAAGGGUAUGUACAUGCAUGUGUGUGUGUGUCUGUGUGUGCGUGCUGAGUAGCCUUGCAUGAGAUGCUAUGUUUGGCAGUGUGGCCUUUUUUUUUUUUUUUAAUCUGAUGUUUGGCUACAGCAUAAGCAUAGUCAAAAUCUGAAAAACUGUGGAAAGGCUAACACAAUUUCUAGCUUUGGUGAUUUUAUUCCUUGCUUAUUUAUCUUGAAUAUAUAAAUGUACCCAUUACAAAACAAAAACAAAAACAAAAGAGAUGGUAAUGAGGCAAAAGGCAAGAUUGACCCAGAGGCAAAUGUUGAUAACACCUCUGCAAUCUGAAGACUAACUCUUGGGCCCAAGGCAAAGUGUGUGAGCUUAAUCUGAAAUUCAUCCAUUAAUAUAAGACUUUUAAAGGGGGCUGAAGUAUUCUUGGUAGCACCACUAAUUCUUGGGUGCUACCAGGACCAGAAACAAAUGCCCAGACUCUCUGGAUGAAAGUAACCAAAUUUAGGCUCUCAGGAUUCCCACAGGCUAAUCGUCUUCAUGAACACAAAAGCACAAAUUUUAAACAAAUUAUUAACAAAGCAAAUCCAGUGCUAUAUAAAGGAAUUAUACAGCACAAUCCAAUAGGGUUUUUCUAACAAUUCAAGGGUAACUUAAUAUUUGUGAAUCAGUUCAUGUAUUUCACUACAUUAACAACAAAAAAGGUAGGAGAUAGAACAUACAGUCAUCUCAAUAGGUAGAGUUAAACCUUCUGAUAAUUUACUCUUAGCAGAUUAGGAAUAGAAGUAAAUUUCCUUAAUCUGAUAGAGUGUCCAUACAAAAAUCUACUGCAAAUACCUUUAUGAUGAAAUAUUGUAGACAUCCCCUAGAGAUGAGAAAUGAAACAAGGAUGUCUUUUUUUUUUUUUUUAACAAGAUGCCUUCUAUAUUCACUUUCAUUCAUCAUUGUACUGGUUGUAGCCAAUGCAAUAAGGCAAGAAAAGAGAUCACAAAGAUUGGGAAGAAAGAAAUAAUACUGAUUUAUUCACAAAUGAUAUGGUUAUGUAGAUAAAAACGUAAAAACAUAAAAACAUCAAAAGGUAACUGGCCAAAUGCAGGGCCAGAUGUGGGGCUUGAACUCACAAACCAUGAAAUCAUGACUUCAGCCAAAGUCAGACACUCAACCAACUGAGCCACCCAGGCACCAGCAUACUGAAUACCAUGUACUGACCAUGUACUGAAUACAUGUUUUCAGUAUUUUAAAACAGCAAUCAUUUGUUAUGUCUCAUGAUUCUGUGGAGUUCCUCCAUUGAUUUUUCUUGGGCUCACCCUAGGCUAUAUUCUCCUCAAAAAACAGCUGGGCUGGCCAGUACAAGGUGGCCCUACCUGAACAUCUGGCUCUUAAUGCCAGCUGUCUACUGGGGUUCAUCAUUUCUCAUCUACAUGACGUCUCACUCUUCUGUAGGCUAGAUCAAUGUCCUUAAAUGACAGUCUCAGGACAGCAUUCCAAAAGGCCAAAAGAAUAAGGUUAAAGGUCCAUUGAGGCCUAGCCUUAGAUUUUGCAAAAUGUCACUUCUGCCUUAUGCUACUGGACACAGGAAGUCCCAGGGCCAACCCAGAAUCAAGGCGGGGGGUGGGGGUGGGGGUGGAAAUAGACCUUGCCUUUGAUGGAAGGGGCUGCAAAGUCACCUUGCAAAGGGGUGAACAUAACAGGAUAGGAGGAAUUUGUGACUAUUAUUCACAAUGCUACUCUCUGCCCUCUGCCCACCGUUAUUUACGUGUCCAUCAUGUGCAGAAGAAAUGAAAACAAAACACUAAAAUUGAUUGCCUCUGAGAAGGAGAAUAGUGGGUAAGGAAGAGUGGGACAAAGGUUUUUUCAUUCUAGGCCCUUCCAUACUCUUCUUUUUAAACACAUGCACGCUCUAUAAAAACAAAGGUUUCUGAUGUUCUAUAAGGUGCAUAUAAAUCCCUUGCUUUAAAAAGAAAAACUGGAAGGAUAGUUUCUCCUAUCCUCAUCAAAUAAAUGAUGAACAAUAUUUACUGAAUAGGUAUUCUAAGAACUGCAAGAUUCUUAAACUACUCAGAUUCAACCUUGUUCAGUUUUAUUCUGCCUCCUAAGAAUUCAAUUAAAAAAUGUGAUUGUGUGUAUGAAAAAUGCUUCCUAAGUUAUAAAUGUUUUAUAACUCACUAUACAUUAUCCACUGCAACUGUUCCUACGUUGUGCCCAGCACUGUAUUAAGCUGUGCAGAGGCCACAAAAGGACCAGAAAAUAAGUUUUCUGCCAGCAAGAAAUUAACAGUCUAGGUGAAGAGACCAGAUGAUACCCACAAACCAAUUAUAGUACAUUAUGCUAGACUGUAUGGGUCUGUGCAGACAGUACUCUUUGCUCAUUGCAGCCUCAUCAGGACCCCACAUACAAUAAGACCUUGAUAAAUAUGCAUUGAUGGAGGGAUGGAUCAAUUACCUGGCAGCCUAUAACUCAGAGCCUGGUCACAGUACCAAUUGUGAGUGCUGGAGACAUCUGAGAAGCAGCGAUCAGAGGAGUUGGUUGUACUCAGCCAGGCACCCAGGCUGGGCUUUAUUUCCAACCAGGAUAUGACAAAAAGAAAAGACUCAGAGAUGGGAAGGAGGUCAAACCAGGGAAGUGGUAAGAGGGCUAUAAGAUCUCCCAGAGCACCCACCUUCUGCCCUUGCAGCAGGCAUCUGGCCAGACAGGAAGCAGGGCUGGGGAGGAGUGGACAGGAUGGGCUGGCAAGGGACAGGAAGCACUUGGAGCACCAGGGAGGAAGGGAGGGGACAAAUCCCACCACCUAGCAGACCACAGGAAAGCCCCAAUCAUGGGCACUUCUGGCCUUCCCCACAGAAGAAUCCUGCCUUUUCCUCCAUACUGAAAUUGGCAGCAGAAACAAAGGUGAAUUGGACAUUCUCCCACUCACCAGGAUAUUAGUGCCUCUUACAGGGGGACAAACACCAGUGAUAUAAAUAAUCAAGGGCCUUGAAGCAUCCCGAAUGACAGCAAGCCAGGACUCUGAGAUGGAAGUAGGCACACCGGAGUUCCUAUCCUGAUUCCAGGCCCAAGAUCCUAAGCCCUGCAAGAUAAACAUUCUGUCCAUCCAAUGAGGAAGUGGAUGUAAAGGAGUUCAAGAAGAAGAAGAAGAAGAAGAAGAAGAAGAAAAAGAAAGAAAGAAAGAAAGAAAGAAAGAAAGAAAGAAAGAAAGAAAGAAAGAAAGAAAAGAAAGAAAAGAAAAAAGAAAACAGAAACAGAAUUGUCCAAGGAAACACAACUGAUUAAUGACAGGAUUUGAGCCCAGGUCCUGAAAUCUAGCAGGAUUUAAAACUAAGUCUGACUAUCUCUAAGACCUGGGGAUUUUGUUUGUUUGUUCUUUUUAAAACUAAACCACCAUUUGAAUGAAUAAUUGUGAAUAAAUGAUGGUGAAUAAGUCAA